GGUCCCGUAGCUCAGUUGGAUAGAGCAUCAGAUUCCUAAUCUGAGGGUCGCAGGUUCAAUUCCUGCCGGGAUCA
Molecule: transfer RNA, 74 nt
Filed under: Ahrensia marina
Lineage: Bacteria; Pseudomonadati; Pseudomonadota; Alphaproteobacteria; Hyphomicrobiales; Ahrensiaceae
Rfam family: tRNA
About the family: Transfer RNA (tRNA) molecules are approximately 80 nucleotides in length. Their secondary structure includes four short double-helical elements and three loops (D, anti-codon, and T loops).
Source: Rfam by way of RNAcentral